Molecule: ribosomal RNA, 323 nt
Filed under: uncultured eukaryote
Lineage: Eukaryota
Description: partial 18S ribosomal RNA
Rfam family: Eukaryotic small subunit ribosomal RNA
Source: RNAcentral
CCCUUAGAUGUUCUGGGCUGCACGCGUGCUACACUGAUAUUGCCAAUAUGUCAUUCUUAUCCGAAAUGGAUUGGGUAAUCAAGUAAUGAAAUUUCAUGCUUGGAAUCGGUAAUUGCAAUUUUAUCGUGAACGAGGAAUUCCUAGUAAGCACUAGUCAUCAGCUAAUGUUGAUUAUGUCCCUGCCCUUUGUACACACCGCCCGUCGCUACUACUGAUUGGGUGUUCAAGUGAGAUGCUUAGAUCCUUGUUGCAUGGUUCAUUAUUGUGCUCCGAAAGGAAAAAGUUUCAAGCUUGAGUGUCUAGAGGAAGUAAAAGUCGUAACA